UACGAAGGGGGGCUAGCGUUGUUCGGAAUUACUGGGCGUAAAGCGCACGUAGGCGGAUAUUUAAGUCAGGGGGUGAAAUCCCCAGAGCUCAACUCUGGAACUGCCUUUGAUACUGGGUAUCUGGAGUAUGGAAGAGGUGAGUGGAAUUCCGAGUGUAGAGGUGAAAAUUCGUAGAUAUUCGGAGGAACACCAGUGGCGAAGGCGGCUCACUGGUCCAUUACUGACGCUGAGGUGCGAAAGCGUGGGGGAGCAAACAGG
RNAcentral lists this ribosomal RNA (258 nucleotides) under uncultured bacterium. RNAcentral describes it as "partial 16S ribosomal RNA". It matches the Rfam family "Bacterial small subunit ribosomal RNA", at positions 524 to 776 of the family's 1533-position model. The record is from RNAcentral.